Nomascus leucogenys (northern white-cheeked gibbon) is the source of this 1044-nucleotide long non-coding RNA. RefSeq lists it as uncharacterized. Lineage: Eukaryota; Metazoa; Chordata; Mammalia; Primates; Hylobatidae. The record is from RefSeq and is a predicted model, not a curated record. The transcript is spliced from 4 exons.
GAGUCCACCAGUAAAUGGGUGUUGCAUGGUGUGGAGUAUGCUGCUUAGCCCGCUUUCAGAAGCUCAAGGGUGACCUGGGAGUGCUUUGACUACUCCUAGCAGUAAAACGAAUGCAUUUGCACUUCCAGCUGCAUUUCUUCGGCUUCUUGUACAGUCUUGAGCCUGGGUCAACACAUGCGACGUCCCCAGGUUCCUCUGCAUUUGCUGACCAAUGGUCACUUCCGUUGCUGCCAUCUAAGAGCUCAGAGGGAGAUCCACUCUCAAGUCCAGGGCCAGAAGCAGGUGUGAGGUACUGCACCCGGCCUGACUGGUGUCUUUAUAAGAAGAGGAUAUGAGGACAGAGACACACAGAGGAGAGAGGCGUGGGGAGAGACCAACCCUGCUGUCACCUUGAUCCUGGACUUCCAGCCUCCAGAACUAAUUCAUGUGAAGAUGAGCUGAACCUGCUCCCUGGCCUUCCCUAGUUUCCGUGGCUUUGACAGAAGGUGGAAAGGGCCAACAUGGAAGAGACGCAUGAACAAACUGCACGUUUUCAGCAAACAUUUCCAAGGGUUAUCUUAGCUGGAUGCGACUGUACUUUGGAAGAGUAUUUUAGGACUCCAUGUCUUUAUGACCCUAGCUUCUGCUUAAAGUUGAAGAACUGAGUCCCGUUAUCAGCUUCAUCUCUGUUUAGCUCCCAAAGUAAGGGAAUUGUUUUGCAAAAGUAAAAUGAGUUUUAUCAGCAAGCUUUGUAGAAACUUUACCCAAAAAGGAAAACCAGAUUCCCACUCAUGCUCUUUUGUUAAGAGAUGGCACAAACUCUGGGAGUUUGACCUCAAAGAUGUAUCACUGAGCAAAACAAAAUAGGUCUGUUAUUUGUGGAACUCAUGGUUCUCAUGUAGUUCUGUAUCAGGUGAAAAUGGUUCAGUCAUUGUUACUUCUUUUUAACGAAUUUCUUUUUCUGAUUAUAAAAAUCAAUAUAUGCUCUUCGUGAAACACUGAAAAAUACAGAUGUAAAACAUAAGUGAACAAUAAACAUUCUGCAUUCCACCACAUGGAAAAAAA